Molecule: ribosomal RNA, 553 nt
Filed under: uncultured Nitrososphaerota archaeon
Lineage: Archaea; Thermoproteati; Nitrososphaerota
Description: bacterial SSU rRNA
Rfam family: Archaeal small subunit ribosomal RNA
Source: RNAcentral
ACGGGGUGCAGCAGGCGCGAAACCUUUGCAAUGUGCGAAAGCACGACAAGGUUAAUCCGAGUGUCUCCUGCUAAAGGAGUCUUUUGUCAGUUGUAGAAUCACUGAUGAAUAAGGGGUGGGCAAGUUCUGGUGUCAGCCGCCGCGGUAAAACCAGCACCUCGAGUGGUCAGGAGGUUUAUUGGGCCUAAAGCAUCCGUAGCCGGUUGCAUAAGUUUUCGGUUAAAUCUAUGCGCUUAACGUGUAGGCCGCCGAAAAUACUGUGCAGCUAGGGAGUGGGAGAGGUACACGGUACUCGAUAGGAAGGGGUAAAAUCCUUUGAUCUAUUGAUGACCACCUGUGGCGAAGGCGGUGUACCAGAACACGUUCGACGGUGAGGGAUGAAAGCUGGGGGAGCAAACCGGAUUAGAUACCCGGGUAGUCCCAGCUGUAAACGAUGCAGACUCGGUGAUGCAUUGGCUUGUGGCCAAUGCAGUGCCGCAGGGAAGCCGUUAAGUCUGCCGCCGGGGAAGUACGUACGCAAGUAUGGAACUUAAAGGAAUUGGCGGGGGGGCAC